GCCAGCAUGGUGUAGUGGUUUGAACGUUGGGACUAUUAUUCCAGAGACCAGGGUUCAAAUCCCAGCUCAGCCG
This is a non-coding RNA of Phrynosoma platyrhinos (Desert horned lizard), 73 nucleotides long. The record is from the annotation of a GenBank genome assembly. Lineage: Eukaryota; Metazoa; Chordata; Lepidosauria; Squamata; Phrynosomatidae.